This 165-nucleotide ribosomal RNA is filed under the name Globba sp. JLS 73450. RNAcentral's name for it is "5.8S ribosomal RNA". It matches the Rfam family "5.8S ribosomal RNA". Rfam says of the family: 5.8S ribosomal RNA (5.8S rRNA) is a component of the large subunit of the eukaryotic ribosome. It is transcribed by RNA polymerase I as part of the 45S precursor that also contains 18S and 28S rRNA. Functionally, it is thought that 5.8S rRNA may be involved in ribosome translocation. Lineage: Eukaryota; Viridiplantae; Streptophyta; Magnoliopsida; Zingiberales; Zingiberaceae. The record is from RNAcentral.
CAAAUGASUCUCGGCAAUGGAUAUCUCGRCUCUUGCAUCGAUGAAGAACGUAGUGAAAUGCGAUACUUGGUGUGAAUUGCAGAAUCUCGUGAACCAUUGAGUCUUUGAACGCAAGUUGYGCCCRAGGCUUUGUGGCCGAGGGCACGCCUGCUUGGGCGUCAUGGC